RNAcentral lists this ribosomal RNA (375 nucleotides) under uncultured bacterium. Its description in RNAcentral is "bacterial SSU rRNA". It matches the Rfam family "Bacterial small subunit ribosomal RNA", at positions 524 to 898 of the family's 1533-position model. The record is from RNAcentral.
UACGUAGGUGGCAAGCGUUGUCCGGAUUUACUGGGUGUAAAGGGCGCGUAGGCGGGAAUGCAAGUCAGAUGUGAAAUCCAUGGGCUCAACCCAUGAACUGCAUUUGAAACUGUGUUCCUUGAGUGAUGGAGAGGCAGGCGGAAUUCCUAGUGUAGCGGUGAAAUGCGUAGAUAUUAGGAGGAACACCAGUGGCGAAGGCGGCCUGCUGGACAUCAACUGACGCUGAGGCGCGAAAGCGCGGGGAGCAAACAGGAUUAGAUACCCUGGUAGUCCGCGCCGUAAACGAUGAAUACUAGGUGUGGGGGGACUGACCCCUUCCGUGCCGGAGCAAACGCAAUAAGUAUUCCACCUGGGGACUACGGUCGCAAGACUAAA